This 770-nucleotide ribosomal RNA is filed under the name Clavariadelphus sp. Its description in RNAcentral is "partial large subunit ribosomal RNA". It matches the Rfam family "Eukaryotic large subunit ribosomal RNA", at positions 113 to 869 of the family's 3401-position model. The record is from RNAcentral. Lineage: Eukaryota; Fungi; Basidiomycota; Agaricomycetes; Gomphales; Clavariadelphaceae.
GUUGUAUCUGGCGGCCUCUGGCUGUCCGAGUUGUAGUCUGGAGAAGUGUUUUCUGUGCCGGACCGUGUACAAGUCCCUUGGAACAGGGCGUCAUAGAGGGUGAGAAUCCCGUCUCUGACACGGACUCCCGGUGCUUUGUGAUGCGCUCUCGAAGAGUCGAGUUGUUUGGGAAUGCAGCUCAAAAUGGGUGGUAAAUUCCAUCUAAAGCUAAAUAUUGGCGAAAGACCGAUAGCGAACAAGUACCGUGAGGGAAAGAUGAAAAGCACUUUGGAAAGAGAGUUAAACAGUACGUGAAAUUGUUGAAAGGGAAACGCUUGAAGUCAGUCGCGUCUGGUGGGACUCAGCCUUACUUCUGUAUGGUGCAUUUCCUAUUUGAUGGGCCAGCAUCGAUUUCGGUCACUGGAGAAAGGUGGGGGGAACGUGGCACCCUCGGGUGUGUUAUAGCCCUCUAUCGUAUGCAGUGAUUGGGAUCGAGGAUCGCAGCACGCCUUAACGGUCGGGGUUCGCCCACGUAACGUGCUUAGGAUGCUGGCGUAAUGGCUUUAAGCGACCCGUCUUGAAACACGGACCAAGGAGUCUAACAUGCCUGCGAGUGUUUGGGUGUCAAACCCGGACGCGAAAUGAAAGUGAACAGUUGGGACCUCUGUCGUGGAGGGCACCGACGCCCGGACCAGACCUUCUGUGACGGUUCCGAGGUAGAGCAUGUAUGUUGGGACCCGAAAGAUGGUGAACUAUGCCUGAGUAGGGUGAAGCCAGAGGAAACUCUGGUG